Molecule: non-coding RNA, 1642 nt
Organism: Odocoileus virginianus texanus
Lineage: Eukaryota; Metazoa; Chordata; Mammalia; Artiodactyla; Cervidae
Source: RefSeq, a predicted model, not a curated record
GUCCCGCCCACCCCCAACGGUGGUCCCCGCGGCCCAGUAUUGCUCGUUAGGCAACGCGUGUACGUCUUUGCCGAGGACUGGUCCGCGGUUUCCCUGCUACAGUUCUUUCUCGAGGUAUUGUUCCCUUCCUUUGGUUUUGUGGUCUCUGCGGCCGGGGUGCGGAAACUGCUGAAAGGAACUGGAUCUCACCUCUGCGGGUGCAGCCUGGAGGCGGCGGGGAGCUGAAGCAGAACGACCUGAAGAGAGUUCCUGGAUGUGGAGUUUGUUUUUUUAGAACCAUCCUUGUGCUGUGAAGUGUUUGAUGAAAAAAUGUUUGGAAGAUUGACUUUUCCACAACUGCUUUUUGCUAGCCUCCUUGGAAUUGCUGGAGGAAUAUAUAUUUAUCAACCAAUAUUUGAACAGUAUUCCAGAGAUCAGAAGGAGUUAAAAGAAAAAAUGAAAUUGGUAGAAGACUCAGAAGAGAAGAAAAGUUGAUACUACAUGGAGUUGAACUGUAAUUGCGUAAAAUUCCAUUGAAAUUAUACAUUGAGUAUAAAUAAUCUAGUAAAAAGUUAUUCACUAUAAAUCUAGUAGAAAGUUAUCAAUUAUACUUUAAAUAAUAUGGUGACCUUUUAUGCUGUUGGAAUAGAACCCUGUAUGCUAUCAAUUCAAGACACCCUGGGUAUGCUCCAGCCUGACUUCCCAUUUUAGCAGUUAUGACUUGCCAUCAGACCUUUGCUACUUGGAAAUUCUUUUGUUUCUAACUUGGGAGUCCUGUUGCAGCGUCUUCUGUCAGUCUCAUCUCAUAAAGGACAUCCAUGUCAGUGGCCUCCUCACCAGUGCCUCAGUGAAAGGAGCCCCAUCAGGGCCUUGCAGGUAACAGCAGCUGGUGGUUCUGCAGUCUCAUCACAAAUCCGUUAUUCUGACUCCAAGGUCAGCAGGGCAAGAUAAGGAGAAAAGAAAGUUAAAGAGGGAAAGCCAAGACAAUGAUAGAUUUUCAAGGGGGCCACUUGACUUGAUCCUAUGGGAUUUUCUGAAGAGAAUUUAAAAAUUUUUUUAGCUAUUGAAGUAACUUCAGACUUAAAAAGUACAAAAAUAAUAUAAAAAAAUUUCAUAUACUUGUUAUCCAGGUUCCACAGAUGUUAACAUUUAUCCACAUUUGCUUUAAUUUCUCUGUAUAUAUGUGCUUACGUAUUAUGCACACACAAACUUAUUAUUUUUCUAAACCCUUUGAAAACAGAGUAAGUUGCCCAUGUGAUUCCCGUAACCUCUAAAUAUUUUAGUGUGCAAUUCCUAAAAACAGGGAUGUUCUCAUUUAUUAUUAUAGUGUAAUAAUCAAGAUCAGGAAGUUAAGAUUGAUAGGAUAUUAUCUAAUCUCAGAUUUCAUUCCGAUUCUACUAAGUCCUAUUAAUGUCCUUUAGAACAAGACAAAAAUAUUUUUCUGAACUGGGAUCUCAUUUAGGGUCACAUUUGAAUUUAGUUCAUGGUCCUUUGGUUUUAUUUAUUCUUGUUUCUUGAAAGUGAAAGUGAAGUCGCUCAGUCAUGUCUGACUCUUUGCAACCCCGUGGACUGUAGCCUGCCAGGCUUGUUAGUCAUUGCCUUUUAUGACCUAGAAAUUUUCAAAGAAUGUUGGUUUGUUUUGUAAAAUAUACCUUAAUUUGAA